GACGAACGCUGGCGGCGUGCUUAACACGUGCAAGUCAAACGGAAAGGCCCUGCUUUUGUGGGGUGCUCGAGUGGCGAACGGGUGAGUAACACGUGAGUAACCUGCCCUUGACUUUGGGAUAACUUCAGGAAACUGGGGCUAAUACCGGAUAGGAGCUCAUGCUGCAUGGUGGGGGUUGGAAAGUUUCGGCGGUUGGGGAUGGACUCGCGGCUUAUCAGCUUGUUGGUGGGGUAGUGGCUUACCAAGGCUUUGACGGGUAGCCGGCCUGAGAGGGUGACCGGCCACAUUGGGACUGAGAUACGGCCCAGACUCCUACGGGAGGCAGCAGUGGGGAAUAUUGCACAAUGGGCGGAAGCCUGAUGCAGCAACGCCGCGUGCGGGAUGACGGCCUUCGGGUUGUAAACCGCUUUCGCCUGUGACGAAGCGUGAGUGACGGUAAUGGGUAAAGAAGCACCGGCUAACUACGUG
RNAcentral lists this ribosomal RNA (468 nucleotides) under uncultured bacterium. Its description in RNAcentral is "partial 16S ribosomal RNA". It matches the Rfam family "Bacterial small subunit ribosomal RNA", at positions 28 to 507 of the family's 1533-position model. The record is from RNAcentral.